This 433-nucleotide unclassified non-coding RNA is filed under the name Athalia rosae (coleseed sawfly). Its description in RNAcentral is "misc RNA ENSAEAG00005001723.1". Lineage: Eukaryota; Metazoa; Arthropoda; Insecta; Hymenoptera; Athaliidae. The record is from RNAcentral.
UUCUGCAAUGGUGGGGGAUGCAGGUCGUCAUGGUUGGAGGUGAAGUGGUGAAAAUUGAAAUCGUUCAAUAUUUAUAAAAAAAAAUCCUCAAACUCUUGCGAGUUUACACCCGCCGGUUCGAAAGAGUUCAUUCGCUUAUUUUUACAUAUAUAUCGAUCGAUUCGAUCGAACGGACGAAAAAAAUGCUCGAUAUACUAUAAUCUCGCAUAGAUACGAUUCGCCUCUGUCGCUACAUGGUGCGAAAGUCCGAUGAAAUUACAAUAGACAAGGGUUGGUCGAAACCCCGUUUUCAUCUUGGCACCCUUACAGCGACGAAUAUAUCCACUCCGGAUUUCGUUACCGCGUAUAGCAUUGUUCCUCCUCGACUUCUAAAACUCUGACAACGAAACUGGGAGACGAAGUGAAAGACCGAAACAAAGGGGUGGAAACGACG